GAGAAUUUCUGGUUCUCUUUAUGUUACAUCUAACACUUUCUUCAGUGAGAUCUCUGAUCUUAGUUGCAUGUCAGAUGACAUGACUGCUGCUGAAAAAAGUUG
Molecule: long non-coding RNA, 102 nt
Organism: Ipomoea nil (Japanese morning glory)
Lineage: Eukaryota; Viridiplantae; Streptophyta; Magnoliopsida; Solanales; Convolvulaceae
Exons: 3
Source: RefSeq, a predicted model, not a curated record